UGGACGCUGGAGUAAUAGGCCUACUGGUGGCAAAGGUUUCACAUCCUCUUUGUUCGUUGGCAAUAACGUUGGCUAGCUAGGUUUACUUUCUACCGUCUCAUGCGGCGCUCACUAGCAAAGGUAGCUAAGAUACUGAUUGGCACAUGGGCCAUAAUGGAUUCACCCAUCCCUCUCUCCUCCCUGCGCCUUUUGGUUCCACCUCUACGGCUGAUGUCUGCAUUUAUGUGGCAGGUAGCACAACAGAGGGCCAUCAAGCACUAUGGAAAAUUAGAGGAGUUUGUGACCGUGGUAACACAAACUGUCCCAGAACUUAUGACUGACAGACAAAGGACCCUCCUUAUUUUGGGUCUGAGAGCAAGGGUAAACCCUGUCAGCCUCCGGACCCUCCUUUAUAGAAUAAAGUCGUCUCAACAUGCACAGUCCAAUGAUGCAGGCAUGGAGUCACCUGAAGCUAACUUUGCCAAGCUCACCCAAAGCUUGCUUAUAGACCCGGUUGAGCGUGAACACUUCGUCCAAGUGGUGUUUCCUGAAGAAUUCAGACCUGAUUUUGACCAAGUGCUUCAGGAACUGGUCUGUGACUUUCUCACUCGGCUGGAAGAGCUGCUUACACUACCAGACUUUAAGCAGACUGCAUUGUUGCUGAGUGCUGGCUCCUCUGGCCUGGAUGAAUGCCUGCAGUCUUUCUCUCACUCAGAAGAUCUCCAGUUUCUGCUCCAGAAUUACAAACAAUGCAGAACAUUGUACACAAACAUUUCCUCCUCUGACAUUCCUCAGGAAUCAGAUAUUGAAUCCGAUGCCUUCCCUGACCAGUUAAACCGUACCAAUCUGGACACUGUUGUGGGGAUGAGGACUGGGAUACAAAGCAGAGACUGCCAAAGGAUGGAGUUGGCAUCACAUUUAGUGGAAAUGGGGAGCACAAGAGAUAUUAUAGGCUGCGAUGAAACCUGUGAUGAAGGGAAUGAAGAUGACAUUGAUGUAGAGGACGACCCAAAACAGAAAAGGGCUGGUUCUGGUCUUUCUCCUACCAGUGUCAUGCAAGGUGGUGAUACAGGGGCACUCAGCACUGUGCUCUCUCUGUGUUACAUGUGACCAACCUGCACAAUCACAUGCUAUCGCAACACCAUCAGGUUGUAUAUUCUGUUUUCUGGGUUAUAGGCUGAUCACAACUAGCAUUGCAAAGGGUCAGAAAUGUUCCUGAAAUUUUUAAUGGGAAGUUAAGCCUGGAAUUUGGGGAAUUUUGCUUAAAUUUGUCAAUGUUGGCUCAUAAAAGUUAACCUUUUUUUGUGGGAUACACAUAAGGCAAUUAUAGGUCUUGUGGCAUAUUUUGGUUAAACUAUCCCCAAUUCAAUAGAAUUGCAACCCUCUGCAUGCACAGUGCAAUCUUCAAUCACAUGUACAGCUGAUUCUCAAGGUCUUGCACACUAAUGAGAUGCUAUUGAACCCACACUACAACACUGUCUGAGCCAAGGACUACAUGCUUUCUGGAAAAUGUCACUGUCUGAUGUGUGGAGACAUUUCACUGCAGCUAAUGUAGAAGGAAAAGCUGUGUACAUUUGCAAAUACUAUGCCAAAUCAUAUGUGAAGAAUGCAACAAAGAUGUAGAAUAAUCUGUCCCAAGUGCAUAAAGUUCCCUCAACACUCACUACAAGCAACCUCUGACAAAAGUCCCUCUACUUCUAUUUGAGGUGAAAAUGAUGAAUCAGACACCUUAUCAAUAGCAACAGCUCAUGGGCCUCCUGGAUUCAAGUUUUUUUUGACUCAAUGGAGGAGCUGUGUAUGCAACUGGUUCACCUCUGAUGCUCACAGGCCAUGUGUAUUGGAAGAGAUUUCUGAAUAUUCUUUGCCCAGUAAACACCCGUCCAACCAGACAUGCUUUAUCUACUCAUUUGCUGGAUGCAGAGUUCAAGUGAAGGUCAAGCAAAUCAUAGAGAAAGCAGACUGUAUUGCAAUCAUCUCAGAUGGGUGAUCAAAUGUUUGUGGGCAAGGAAUAAUUAACUACAUAAUCUCCACCCCUCAACCAGUAUUCUACAAGAGCACAGACACUAGGGACAACACACACCGGUCUCUACAUUGCAGAUGAGCUGAAGGCAGUCAUCACUGACCUUGGACCACAAAGUAUUUGCACUGGUGACAGACAAUGCUGCGAACAUGAAGGCUGUUUGGUCUAAAGUGGAGGAAUCCUACCCUCACAUCACACCCAUUGGCUGUGCUGCUCAUGCAUUGAAUCUGCUCCUCAAGGACAUCAUGGCACUGAAAACAAUGGAUACACUCUACCAGAGAGCCAAGGAAAUGGUUAGGUAUGUGAAGGGUCAUCAAGUUAUAACAGCAAUCUACCUCACCAAGCAAAAUGAGAAGAAUAAGAGCACCACAUUGUAGCUGCCCAGCAACACCCGUUGGGGUGGUGUUGUCAUCAUGUUUGACAGUCUCCUGGAUGGGAAGGAGUCUCCAAGAAAUAGCCAUAUCACAGUCUGCCGAUAUGGACAGCCCCAUCAAGAGGAUCCUCCUGGAUGAUGUAGUUUGGGAGAGAGUGGUAAGCAGCCUGAAAUGCCUGAAACCUAUAGCAGUAGCCAUGGCACGGAUUAAGGGAGACAAUGCCAUCCUGUCUGAUGUUCAGACUCUGCUUGCAGAUGCAAGAGAAGACAUCCGUACUGCCCAGCCUACUUCACUGUUGCUCCAAGCAGAGGAAACUGCAGGUCUGAAAUGCAUCUAAAAGCGUGAAGACUUCUGCCUGAAGCCCAUACACGCCACAGCUUACAUGUUGAACCCGAAGUAUGCUGGCAAGAGCAUCCUGUCUGGUGCAGAGAUCAACAAGGCCUAUGGUGUCAUCACUACCAUGUCUCGCCACCUUGGCCUGGAUGAGGGCAAGGUUUUUGGCAGUCUGGCAAAGUAUACUUCCAAGCAAGGGCUUUGGGAUGGAGAUGCAAUAUGGCAGUCGUGCCAACAUAUCUCAUCAGCCACCUGGUGGAAAGGACUUUGUGUUUCUGAGGCUCUUUCCCCUGUUGCCUCCAUCAUCCUCCAAAUCCCACCAACAUCAGCCGGCCUCAGCACAAGUGGUCCUUGUUUGGGAACACACACCAAAUCACACAACAGGCUGACCAAUACAAGGGUUGAAAAAUUUGUGGCCAUCUGGGCAAAUUUGUUUUGGCUUUUUGAGCCUAAUAAACGAGCCAUCUAGGUUGGAAAGUGACAGUGAAGAUGAGGCGUGAGUCUGAUUGAGGAGGAAGCCUGAGAGGAAGACAACCAAAUAUUUAGUUUCUAGACUAUAAUUUUACAGAUGUAUGUUGAAAACAUUUUUGGGAGAUGUGAUGGAUCAUUGGGGAUCAUUCAAUAUUCCCUUUCUUUUGAUGUUCGGUGAAAUCAUCCCAUGUGAAGAGUCAACUCAUUUAAUUAAAGUUCAAUUGGUAACUAAA
This is an RNA transcript of Oncorhynchus nerka (sockeye salmon), 3410 nucleotides long. It is a transcript of the gene named zinc finger protein ZFMSA12A-like, with no coding region annotated. The record is from RefSeq and is a predicted model, not a curated record. The transcript is spliced from 10 exons. Lineage: Eukaryota; Metazoa; Chordata; Actinopteri; Salmoniformes; Salmonidae.